CCUACGGGUGGCAGCAGUGGGGAAUAUUGGGCAAUGGGCGCAAGCCUGACCCAGCAACGCCGCGUGAAGGAAGAAGGCUUUCGGGUUGUAAACUUCUUUUGUCAGGGACGAAGCAAGUGACGGUACCUGACGAAUAAGCCACGGCUAACUACGUGCCAGCAGCCGCGGUAAUACGUAGGUGGCAAGCGUUAUCCGGAUUUACUGGGUGUAAAGGGCGUGUAGGCGGGACUGCAAGUCAGAUGUGAAAACCACGGGCUCAACCUGUGGCCUGCAUUUGAAACUGUAGUUCUUGAGUGUCGGAGAGGUAAUCGGAAUUCCUUGUGUAGCGGUGAAAUGCGUAGAUAUAAGGAAGAACACCAGUGGCGAAGGCGGAUUACUGGACGAUAACUGACGGUGAGGCGCGAAAGCGUGGGGAGCAAACAGGAUUAGAUACCCUUGUAGUC
This 443-nucleotide ribosomal RNA is filed under the name uncultured bacterium. Its description in RNAcentral is "partial 16S ribosomal RNA". It matches the Rfam family "Bacterial small subunit ribosomal RNA", at positions 338 to 795 of the family's 1533-position model. The record is from RNAcentral.